RNAcentral lists this ribosomal RNA (671 nucleotides) under uncultured bacterium. RNAcentral's name for it is "bacterial SSU rRNA". It matches the Rfam family "Bacterial small subunit ribosomal RNA", at positions 165 to 852 of the family's 1533-position model. The record is from RNAcentral.
AAUACCGCAUAAGCGCACGGGGACGCAUGUUUCUGUGUGAAAAACUCCGGUAGUAUAAGAUGAGCCCGCGUCUGAUUAGCUGGUUGGUGGGGUAACGGCCUACCAAGGCGACGAUCAGUAGCCGGCCUGAGAGGGUGAACGGCCACAUUGGGACUGAGACACGGCCCAAACUCCUACGGGAGGCAGCAGUGGGGAAUAUUGCACAAUGGGGGAAACCCUGAUGCAGCGACGCCGCGUGAGUGAAGAAGUAUUUCGGUAUGUAAAGCUCUAUCAGCAGGGAAGAAAAUGACGGUACCUGACUAAGAAGCCCCGGCUAACUACGUGCCAGCAGCCGCGGUAAUACGUAGGGGGCAAGCGUUAUCCGGAUUUACUGGGUGUAAAGGGAGCGUAGACGGCGCGGCAAGUCUGAAGUGAAAGGCAGGGGCUUAACCCCUGAACUGCUUUGGAAACUGCCAUGCUAGAGUGCUGGAGAGGUAAGUGGAAUUCCUAGUGUAGCGGUGAAAUGCGUAGAUAUUAGGUGGAACACCAGUGGCGAAGGCGGCUUACUGGACAGUAACUGACGUUGAGGCUCGAAAGCGUGGGGAGCAAACAGGAUUAGAUACCCUGGUAGCCCACGCCGUAAACGAUGAAUACUAGGUGUUGGUGGGCAAAGCCCAUUUCGGUGCCGCCGC